Long non-coding RNA from Culex pipiens pallens (northern house mosquito), 752 nucleotides. RefSeq lists it as uncharacterized. The record is from RefSeq and is a predicted model, not a curated record. NCBI's taxonomy places the organism in Eukaryota, Metazoa, Arthropoda, Insecta, Diptera, Culicidae. The transcript is spliced from 4 exons.
AACUUUCGGACGGUGGCGGAGUUGUGAAGGAUAAUGAUUGUUUGGACAUUUCUCCGGAACCGCAGUAGCCAGUAAUCAAACAUCGACAACAAGUUCUGGUGCUUUACAAAGAUCAAGGUGGUCAAUUCGACAGGGAAGAUGCCAAUCUAAAGAUUCUAAGUCGUCCGAUGCACCACUGUUCUGACAAGGGCCCUGUAGCCUUGAAACAGCAUCUGAACCAUCUCGAAGCAAGAAAAACAUCCGGAUUAAGAAUAACCUUAGGAUCGCUUCAAGAAGGUGCUGGAGAAAAAGCUGCACCAAUCAUCCGGAUCGAAGGAGUCGUCCCGGGUGAUUCAACGAUAUCCGCCCGCCGUACCACAGAAUCCCAGUAACUCGCUUACCAGCAUAAGUUCCCGGUUGGAUGCGAUUGAAUUGAUUCGGCUACGGUAGAGUGAUCAAAGAAACGCUCCUGCGGGAAAAUGGAUGCUGGAGAAAAAUAUCGGGAAAUAAGAAGGCACCACUGACGGUGGCGACGGCGGAAGAAGGGCCUCCACCUCCACCUCAAGUCUAAUCGGCCCGGAAACAACUCGUCCAACUCCGGAGCUUGAGCCUGCGCCAACGAUAUGAUCAUGCUAAGGAUCUUCGUCUCCAGCACCCAGCGACACAUGAUGACCAACACCGCAUUUCCAGGAGAGCGUUCUAGCAGCUGGCUGCGCUGAACGCCCACAAAAUAAUCACAAAAGUUUAAAAAUAAAAAGGUUAAAUCAAAAUUA